GGGGGCGUAAGGGUUUCGACGGGGAUAGUGAAGCAUGAUAAGCGGGUAGUGGUCCGGAGCCACUUUAAAAUCCGGAAUUUAAAAUUAAACGCUAACGAAAAUAAUUUAGUAGCAGCGUAAUGCUGCUUGCCGCCUCAAAUCAGGCGGCCGUCCGGCCCGCGUUGACCGCGGCUCGGGUUUGGGCGUAAUCUAAGCGGUGAACGUGACCCGGGUAAGCUUUGCCCCGGGCAUGACAAAUGAAGCUACCAAUGGCGGCAGGAUGCAGGGAAACUGCCGCCGGCGGGAAUCUUAAUUCUCUGCUGCACCCGGAGAAAGUCAUGUGGAAGUAUUUUCGGACAGGGGUUCAACUCCCCUCGCCUCCACCA
RNAcentral lists this transfer-messenger RNA (365 nucleotides) under human gut metagenome. It matches the Rfam family "transfer-messenger RNA". From Rfam's summary of the family: Bacterial tmRNA, also known as 10Sa RNA or SsrA, is named for its dual tRNA and mRNA-like properties. Its role is to liberate the mRNA from a stalled ribosome. To accomplish this part of the tmRNA is used as a reading frame that ends in a translation stop signal. The record is from RNAcentral.